Peromyscus eremicus (cactus mouse) is the source of this 512-nucleotide long non-coding RNA. RefSeq lists it as uncharacterized. The transcript is spliced from 3 exons. NCBI's taxonomy places the organism in Eukaryota, Metazoa, Chordata, Mammalia, Rodentia, Cricetidae. The record is from RefSeq and is a predicted model, not a curated record.
CUCUGAGUGCAGGUGACAGUUGUGUGGCUUGGGCAGUUUGUGGGGCCUCUGGCAGUGGGACCAGGAUUUAUCCCCAGUGCAUGAACAGGCUUUUUGGAGCCCAUUCCCUAUGGAGGGAUGCCAUGCUCAGCCUUGAUGCAGGGGGGAGGGCUUGGUCCUGCCUCAAUUUGAUAUGCCAGACUUUGCUGAUUCCUCACAGGAGGCCUUAUCCUCUCUGAGCAGUGGAUGGAGCAGGGUAGGAAAACUCCACAACGUUUGGCCGGUCCUCCACACCAUGAGAAGGAACCCAUAUCCUACACUGCCUUGGUAACCAAGAACCAGAGAUGAAACAGCCCAGAGACCUAGGCUUUUGAACAGAUUUCAACACAAAAGCAUUUAGCAAAACAGGAGACUCACUAUUGUGAACUCAGGUGAAGUCAAAGACAAAAUAUCAGAUGCGAGGAAAACUGAGUAAUGAUUAUGAGCCUGACAUCAUGGAAUGGAUUUUACAGAUAUCGUCUCACUUAGAACUG